AGUGGGUACGGGCAGACUAGAGUGCGGUAGGGGAGAUUGGAAAUUCCUGGUGUAGCGGUGGAAUGCGCAGAUAUCAGGAGGAACACCGAUGGCGAAGGCAGAUCUCUGGGCCGUAACUGACGCUGAGGAGCGAAAGCGUGGGGAGCGAACAGGAUUAGAUACCCUGGUAGUCCACGCCGUAAACGUUGGGCGCUAGAUGUAGGGACCUUUCCACGGUUUCUGUGUCGUAGCUAACGCAUUAAGCGCCCCGCCUGGGGAGUACGGCCGCAAGGCUAAAACUCAAAGGAAUUGACGGGGGCCCGCACAAGCGGCGGAGCAUGCGGAUUAAUUCGAUGCAACGCGAAGAACCUUACCAAGGCUUGACAUACACCGGAAACGGCCAGAGAUGGUCGCCCCCUUGUGGUCGGUGUACAGGUGGUGCAUGGUUGUCGUCAGCUCGUGUCGUGAGAUGUUGGGUUAAGUCCCGCAACGAGCGCAACCCUCGUUCUAUGUUGCCAGCGCGUUAUGGCGGGGACUCAUAGGAGACUGCCGGGGUCAACUCGGAGGAAGGUGGGGAUGACGUCAAAUCAUCAUGCCCCUUAUGUCUUGGGCUUCACGCAUGCUACAAUGGCCGGUACAAAGGGCUGCGAUACCGUAAGGUGGAGCGAAUCCCAAAAAGCCGGUCUCAGUUCGGAUUGAGGUCUGCAACUCGACCUCAUGAAGUCGGAGUCGCUAGUAAUCGCAGAUCAGCAACGCUGCGGUGAAUACGUUCCCGGGCCUUGUACACACCGCCCGUCAAGUCAUGAAAGUCGGUAACACCCGAAGCCGGUGGCCUAACCCUUGUGGGAGAG
Molecule: ribosomal RNA, 830 nt
Filed under: Flavobacterium sp. RY3
Lineage: Bacteria; Pseudomonadati; Bacteroidota; Flavobacteriia; Flavobacteriales; Flavobacteriaceae
Description: bacterial SSU rRNA
Rfam family: Bacterial small subunit ribosomal RNA
Source: RNAcentral